This 448-nucleotide ribosomal RNA is filed under the name Bragasellus peltatus. RNAcentral's name for it is "partial 16S ribosomal RNA". It matches the Rfam family "Bacterial large subunit ribosomal RNA", at positions 1861 to 2597 of the family's 2925-position model. Lineage: Eukaryota; Metazoa; Arthropoda; Malacostraca; Isopoda; Asellidae. The record is from RNAcentral.
GCCCAAUGAAUUUUAAAUGGCCGCAGUAUCUUGACUGUGCAAAGGUAGCAUAAUCAUUUGUUUCUUAAUUGGAAACUAGAAUGAAAGAGUUGACGAAAGAUAAUCUUUUGAUAAAAUAAAUAAAAUUAACAUAAAGGUUAAAAGGCCUUUAUUUACCAGAGGGACGAUAAGACCCUAUAAAACUUUACCUUUAAGAGAAACUUGAAAGAUUAGUUUUAUAAUUAAGGUUGAACUGGGGCGGUAUUUAUAAAAACAAUAAGAUUUUUAAUACUUAUAGUAAAUUUAGAGAACUCGAUUGAGAAAAUUUAAAUAAGUUACUUUAGGGAUAACAGCAUAAUUUUCUUUGAGAGUCCUUAUCGGCAAGGAAGAUUAUGACCUCGAUGUUGAAUUGAAAAUCCUUUUAGAAGCAGAAAUUUAGAAAGGUAGUCUGUUCGACUAUUAAAUUUUC